GGGAAAGUAGCUCAGUGGUGGAGUGCUUGCCUUGCAAGCAUGCGGCCCUAGGUUCGAUUCCUCAGCCCCA
Dipodomys ordii (Ord's kangaroo rat) is the source of this 70-nucleotide non-coding RNA. The record is from Rfam. Lineage: Eukaryota; Metazoa; Chordata; Mammalia; Rodentia; Heteromyidae.